GACAAUCACUCUCAGAUGUGAGAUUCAGGGAGGUGAAGGAAAGGUGUGGAAAUAUGAAUGGACAGCACCCAACACAAACAGCCCUCCAACAUCCAGUGAAUACAGGAUCAGCAGAGUUUCAGUGUCCCACAGUGGAGACUACAGAUGUCGGGGUAGCAGUGACUAUCUCUUAACAGGAUGGAGUGAUGCCUUCAGACUGACAGUUUCAUAUAAACCAAAGGCCAAACUGAGAGCUGAUAACACAGCUGUUCCAGUAGGGGGCAGAGUGAUCCUGACCUGCUCUGUGAACCCAUCAUCAUCAUCUGGAUGGAAAUACUACUGGUACAGAGAUGAGAAAUCCUCUGAAGCCCUGACCACACAAGAUGCAGUUUUCCAUUCAAAUGGACAAAUCAGUGUCUCACAGGAAGGACUCUACAGGUGCAGAGGAGGAAGAGGAAACCCAGUUUACUACACAGAGGACAGCCAGUCAGUCAGGAUUGGGAAAACUGAUAAACCCCGUCCUGUCCUCACUGUGUCUCCAUCAUGGCUGAGUCCUGGAGCCUC
Molecule: long non-coding RNA, 543 nt
Organism: Oreochromis niloticus (Nile tilapia)
Lineage: Eukaryota; Metazoa; Chordata; Actinopteri; Cichliformes; Cichlidae
Exons: 3
Source: RefSeq, a predicted model, not a curated record